Molecule: ribosomal RNA, 492 nt
Filed under: uncultured bacterium
Lineage: Bacteria
Description: partial 16S ribosomal RNA
Rfam family: Bacterial small subunit ribosomal RNA
Source: RNAcentral
AGUGAACGCUGGCGGUAGGCCUAACACAUGCAAGUCGAACGGCAGCACAGUAAGAGCUUGCUCUUACGGGUGGCGAGUGGCGGACGGGUGCGGAAUACAUCGGAAUCUACUUUUUCGUGGGGGAUAACGUAGGGAAACUUACGCUAAUACCGCAUACGACCUACGGGUGAAAGCAGGGGAUCUUCGGCCCUUGCGCGAUUGAAUGAGCCGAUGUCGGAUUAGCUAGUUGGCGGGGUAAAGGCCCACCAAGGCGACGAUCCGUAGCUGGUCUGAGAGGAUGAUCAGCCACACUGGAACUGAGACACGGUCCAGACUCCUACGGGAGGCAGCAGUGGGGAAUAUUGGACAAUGGGUGCAAGCCUGAUCCAGCCAUACCGCGUGGGUGAAGAAGGCCUUCGGGUUGUAAAGCCCUUUUGUUGGGAAAGAAAAGCAGCAAGUUAAUACCCCGCUGUUCUGACGGUACCCAAAGAAUAAGCACCGGCUAACUUCGUG